Molecule: ribosomal RNA, 254 nt
Filed under: uncultured bacterium
Lineage: Bacteria
Description: partial 16S ribosomal RNA
Rfam family: Bacterial small subunit ribosomal RNA
Source: RNAcentral
UACGAGGGGAGCAAGCGUUGUUCGGAUUUACUGGGCGUAAAGGGCGCGUAGGCGGCCAGCACAAGUCAGUUGUGAAAUCUCCGAGCUUAACUCGGAAAGGUCAACUGAUACUGUGCGGCUAGAGUGCGGAAGGGGCAACUGGAAUUCUUGGUGUAGCGGUGAAAUGCGUAGAUAUCAAGAGGAACACCUGCGGCGAAGGCGGGUUGCUGGGCCGACACUGACGCUGAUGCGCGAAAGCUAGGGGAGCGAACGGG